GAAGCGGCAACAGCUCAAAUUUGAAACCUGGCGCUUGCGUCCGGAUUGUAAUUUGUAGAGGAUGCUUCUGGGCAGCGGCCGUUCUAAGUUCCUUGGAACAGGACGUCAUAGAGGGUGAGAAUCCCGUAUGUGACCGGCGCGCACCCUCCACGUAGCUCCUUCGACGAGUCGAGUUGUUUGGGAAUGCAGCUCUAAAUGGGAGGUAAAUUUCUUCUAAAGCUAAAUAUUGGCCAGAGACCGAUAGCGCACAAGUAGAGUGAUCGAAAGAUGAAAAGCACUUUGGAAAGAGAGUUAAAAAGCACGUGAAAUUGUUGAAAGGGAAGCGCUUCCAACCAGACUCCGCGGCGGUGUUCCGCCGGUCUUCUGACCGGUUCACUCGCCGCCGUGGGGCCAACAUCGUCUGGGGCCGCCGGAUAAGACCGGAGGAAUGUAGCUCAUUGAGUGUUAUAGCCUCCGGUGAUGCGGCGCGUCCCGGGCGAGGUCCGCGCUUCGGCAAGGAUGUUGGCGUAAUGGUUGGCAGCGGCCCGUCUUGAAACACGGACCAAGGAGUCUAACAUCUAUGCGAGUGUUCGGGUGUCAAACCCCUACGCGUAAUGAAAGUGAACGGAGGUGGGAGCUUCGGCGCACCAUCGACCGAUCCUGAUGUCCUCGGAUGGAUUUGAGUAAGAGCAUAGCUGUUGGGACCCGAAAGAUGGUGAACUAUGCCUGAAUAGGGUGAAGCCAGAGGAAACUCUGGUGGA
Molecule: ribosomal RNA, 740 nt
Filed under: Zasmidium indonesianum
Lineage: Eukaryota; Fungi; Ascomycota; Dothideomycetes; Mycosphaerellales; Mycosphaerellaceae
Description: eukaryotic LSU rRNA
Rfam family: Eukaryotic large subunit ribosomal RNA
Source: RNAcentral